RNAcentral lists this ribosomal RNA (468 nucleotides) under uncultured bacterium. Its description in RNAcentral is "partial 16S ribosomal RNA". It matches the Rfam family "Bacterial small subunit ribosomal RNA", at positions 28 to 507 of the family's 1533-position model. The record is from RNAcentral.
GACGAACGCUGGCGGCGUGCUUAACACAUGCAAGUCGAACGGAAAGGCCCUGCUUUUGUGGGGUGCUCGAGUGGCGAACGGGUGAGUAACACGUGAGUAACCUGCCCUUGACUUUGGGAUAACUUCAGGAAACUGGGGCUAAUACCGGAUAGGAGCUCCGGCUGCAUGGUGGGGGUUGGAAAGUUUCGGCGGUUGGGGAUGGACUCGCGGCUUAGCAGCUUGUUGGUGGGGUAGUGGCUUACCAAGGCUUUGACGGGUAGCCGGCCUGAGAGGGUGACCGGCCACAUUGGGACUGGGAUAGCGCCAAGACUCCAACGGGAGGCAGCAGUGGGGAAUAUUGCACAAUGGGCGGAAGCCUGAUGCAACAACGCCGCGUGCGGGAUGACGGCCUUCGGGUUAUAAACCGCGUUCGCCUGUGACGAAGCGUGAGUGACGGUAAUGGGUAAAGAAGCACCGGCUAACUACGUG